CCCUUUUUGCAAAUGUUAGGACUGGUAAUACAGUGUUUUUUAUGGUGUUUUGUUUAGUGUACAUAUGCCUAGAAAUGUCAGCAGAUAUGACUUAACAUGUUGACUGAAAAUUAAUGGUGCAUGAUGGUUUGACUUCCAUGUAUUUGCUGCACAUGAAAAUCAUUAAAACAAUGGCAGGGAAUCCUGCAUAAAUUUGUUGUCAUCCCUAGUCUAGAACCACAUUAAGGUUUAUCGGCUUUUAUAUGGUAUAUUUUUGUGCUUGGGUGGAGUAAUUAAAAAUAACUUUCUGUUUGCAGAUUGAAAGAUGUUGAGCAGAGGGAAAAAUGUAACUGAGCAGGAGGAGUAAAGCAAAUCCAAUGGAGGAUUGUAUUUUUUAUAUAAAUUGUAACCUUGAUAAAGAUGGACUGGAAGUCAAAUUUAUCAAUCAGUUAAAUGGCAAUGGAGGAGUGUUCACAUCAAUUAAAUUCUGCAAAAGAGAUUUCCUUUUGGAGUAUGUCUUUGAAAGGCUGGCAAAAAGGAAGCUGUGGAAAGGGAAAAAUUCCAUAGACAAGAAUGUGGGGUCCUAGCUGGAUUUUUUUCCCUUUCAGUGGAAAAGCGGAAUGACGACAGCUGCAAUAUGGAGACAAGGCAACAUAUGGCUGCAUCCCAUCAACGUCAGAAAGAAAACCGAGCUUAUCAUCCAACAGACUGAGUUUAUCAUAGAUGGAAGGAAAGUGAAGAAGGGAUUGUCAAGGCUCACUUCAAUGUUAUAUGGGUGACAAUUAAAAAGGAUUCCCAGGAAAGAGAGAAAUCAACGUUUUUCUGAAGGAUAAUCUGUUUGUCUCAUUUCCUGUCAAACCAUCAAGCCAAGGUUAUGAAUGAGAAAUAUAAGCACAGAGUAAAGGUAAAAAUAUAACUUUUUGUAGUUAACCUAGUCACUAGGUUCACAAAGCUUCACUAUACUGGCCUUUCUAAGUUGUACAAAUAAGCUGCGCGUUUUUGGUUAAAAUUUAGAAUUUGCUUGGCUCAUCUGACAUCAUCAUGGCAGUACUUAAGAUUUUCUCGAAGUGUGCGUGUUACUUAAUUUGAACUGCGAUAUCUCGGUAAUUACUCAUCAUAAAUAAAGAGACAAGGUUUUUAAACUCAGGGGUGGAAACUUUAUGAUCUCGUUUAUACCACAGUCUGUUUUUGUUUGUUCUUGUCAUUUAUUUAUCAUUAAAUUCAUUAAUUCAUUAAAAAUUUCAUAAAUUAUAAUGAAUUAAUUAGAUGCUCUCUGCAACAUUGUGAACUGUGGUCUGAUUUCAAUACGUUAUUUCUUUGGUUUGCUGUUUGGAAUGUCAUGUAGUUGCCUAUGCAUGUAUGUAGCAGAAUAAUAUGUAGUCUCAUUCUGUGAUUCUCAGUCACAUUUGAAAUAUCUCUCUGAGCGAAUAUUUUAUUACAUUCAAUCGAGGAAACUGCUUAUUUGACUAGUAAUGUUGAUGAGAUUGAGAAGAAAUGACAGCGUAGUUGUGUGUAGUGAAAAUAGAGACCCAUUGCCACAGUCCAGUCUUUACAUAUAUUUCGCAAUGGCUGGGCACAAUUUUCAAAAAAAAAAACAAGACGAAUAUCAGUCAUCUUCAUUCAAAGGCUUUGUUGAGUUUGAGCUUGUGUAGUGAGGCUUCCAUUUUAACUCUGUUUCCGCAUGAGGUUGUAAGUAAAGGUCGGCCAAGUAAGCAUAAGAUCAUGCUCAUCAUUAUGGAUUUACGGUUUGGUGUCAGCGAACAAAAUUAAAUUGUGUGGCUGGUUGAAAAAUGUUUUGCAAUCAUGUAUAUAGGAGUGUAAUUAAAUUGUAUGUCAAAAUGCUGAGUAGAAUGUGUUAGUUAAUAGCAGAUUGUUGAAUUAGUUGAUGUUUUAGAUGAGAGUCCUGUAACAUAACCAGGUUUAGCUCCACAUAUGGUUCUGUAUUCCACAACAUUACUUGUUCUGUUCGAUUCAUAAUUUUAAUCACUGACUGUACUAAAGUGAAAUAUACAUAGAUGUGGCACAAACACCAUUAAAAAACCUCACGUAUCACAUGAAAAUUACCUUGAAUUGUGAGCAUUUAAGAUAGGAUCACCUUUGUACACACUCCAUGCCCAUGUUUUUGUGAAUCAUGAAAGUGACAAUAAAUGCAGCUAUGUUCAAUAAGA
This is a long non-coding RNA of Liolophura sinensis, 2147 nucleotides long. RefSeq lists it as uncharacterized. The transcript is spliced from 5 exons. NCBI's taxonomy places the organism in Eukaryota, Metazoa, Mollusca, Polyplacophora, Chitonida, Chitonidae. The record is from RefSeq and is a predicted model, not a curated record.